AGCAGUGGGGAAUAUUGGACAAUGGGCGAAAGCCUGAUCCAGCCAUGCCGCGUGUGUGAAGAAGGUCUUCGGAUUGUAAAGCACUUUAAGUUGGGAGGAAGGGCAGUGAGCGAAUACCUUACUGUUUUGACGUUACCGACAGAAUAAGCACCGGCUAACUCUGUGCCAGCAGCCGCGGUAAUACAGAGGGUGCAAGCGUUAAUCGGAAUUACUGGGCGUAAAGCGCGCGUAGGUGGUUCGUUAAGUUGGAUGUGAAAUCCCCGGGCUCAACCUGGGAACUGCAUUCAAAACUGACGAGCUAGAGUAUGGUAGAGGGUGGUGGAAUUUCCUGUGUAGCGGUGAAAUGCGUAGAUAUAGGAAGGAACACCAGUGGCGAAGGCGACCACCUGGACUGAUACUGACACUGAGG
Molecule: ribosomal RNA, 409 nt
Filed under: uncultured bacterium
Lineage: Bacteria
Description: bacterial SSU rRNA
Rfam family: Bacterial small subunit ribosomal RNA
Source: RNAcentral